GCCAUCUAUCUCGUCGAUGAGUCUCAUCUCACUCUCUGCCCUAACCCAAAACCCCAGUCCCCAAAUCGCGACUCAGCCUACGGUCCUCCGUAGCCCCGCCCUAGUCUGUAGUCUCUGGCUCUCUCACCCUCUGCCCUAACACAACUACACAAGCCGCAAAGGUUAACUUUGACGAUCACAAAAAGGGGCAUCAUUUGAUACACUCCUUGAAUUCCAAAGGUUAACUCACUUAGACUUGUUUAGCUUCUUGAUUAAUUUUAUUGAUUUUUAAUUCAGUUAAUGAGUGGAAACUGGAAAUUGUUUGUUUGUUUGUUUUUUUUGGGAUUUUUUUGAUGGAUGAUUAAUUCUUGGAAUUUCUUUUCUGGGUACUUUUAAUUUUACUUUGUUAAUUUCUGUAGAUUUUUUGGUUGAUCGGAAUUCCUCAGUGUUGGUUAAUGCAUAUGCUCUAUCAGCAACUGUAUUUUUUAGUUAAAUCUUUUUGUUAGCUGUUAGGACCCCAUGCAUCAUAUCAUUUGAUCUGUUAGCUGUUGCUUUAUGUUUAUAACUUUUUAUAGAAGGAAUUUCUAUGAUCAUUUGAUUCUGAAAGAGGAUUCUGCUAUUUAUCAUCUGCUUUUUUAAAUUUUAGCUGUAAAAGAAAUUUUGCUUAAUCUUGUUUUUUAUUAUAAAUUUUGCUGCUAAGAAAAUGACAAUAUGCACCUUUGCUCCAUACAAUUCACCAAUUCUCCUCCUAACUAGCCAUUUAAUUCUAAAAUUUCAAAUUAUAUUGGGAAUUGUUACUUUUAGAAGGAGAGUUUGAUAUUUUUGGAAUAUUCCCUCACCUCUUGGUGCAUUUAUCUUUACUUGGAGAUUCUUGUUCACAAAUAUAACUAUUAAAUACAAUUUAUAUCGUCACAAAAUGCAUCCUAUUUUGUCCCAACACAAAUAAGAGGUUGUCUUAAAAAUAUUUUGAGUACUGCUGUCUAUAUAAUAGACGUUUUUGACCAAAGCUCACUUUUUAAUUAAAGUAAUGAUUGGUCAUUGUAAAGUGUAAAAUUAAGCCUAAAUUACUAAAUUGCCCUUGUUUUUUUUUUUGGUAGUAAUAAGUAAGAGUUCAUCGAUGUAGUAUCAGUACUAACAUGCAACCUUUGCUAUUCUCCAUGAAUUUUUUCUUAAACCUGAAUAAAGUCACUUUAAUAUCCCUCCUUUUCUUAUCAUCCUACCUCCCUGCUCCAAAAAAAUGAAGUUUAAAUUUACUCUUUUUUUAAAAAAUUAAAAAUUUAAAAUCUUGCCUCUACUUUUGAAUUGAUUUGUUAUUUUUUUUAUUUCCCUCCAUUUUUUCAUUCUAUAAAAGUGUAGUAUUGUUCAUGAUAUCUCAUGAAGAAAAAAAAUAGCCUUAAGUUUAGCAAUAAUACAUUAUGGUUACUAUACGAGAAUUUGAUUUGAAUUUUUUGCCAAAUAUUGAAGAAUUUCCGGUGAAUGAAAUCAACUUAAAUAUAGAUUUGAAUGUUCUGGCAAGUAACGGGGAGAUUUCGGCGUACACUAUCGGCUACAACAUCGAUUUAAAUGAUCCUCUAUUGUUUGAUCCAAUUAUAGGUUUUUUGUUUGUUACUUAUUUUACGAUCACAUUUUUACUUGGAUUUCUUUUAGUUUUUGAGGUCACGUUGUUGUGAUAUUUAUUAAAAUAACAAUCUUAUUUUGUAUGUGGAUACAUAAUAUGGCAUGAACCUUGCAUGAAAUUAAUGGAUAUGAAUUAUUCCUAAUACACAUGCAUUAUGUGAACAGCAAGGGAGUUUUUUUAGUUUUAUAGACAAAGUACCCCUUAGUGGAGAGGUGGAAAUUAUACUAGUGAUUUCAUAUUACAUAGUUCUACACACCAUUUUAUCUUAUAAUUAGUGUUAAGAGUACAAUCUUAUGAGAUUAAAUUUUGUAUGACUAAUAAUAAGAUGAAAUAUGGCCGUUAGUUGAUAUUGUUAGUAAAAAUAAUGUUGACAGUUUAAGCAAAUAUACAUUUAAUGUCACUUUUAUAAUUAUUCUAAUGAUACUUAGCAUUUUAAAUGAAGCUUAUUAUUUGAACAACAUAAGUUAACCAACUAAUAAUCUAUUCUUAUCCAUUAGUAUUACAAAAAACAUAACAAGUAGAUUUGAAGUAAAUUAAAUGUACUUAAAAUUUUAGUAUUUACAUUGCGCUUAUAAUAUUUAAUGUAGUGUUAGGAAUAUGCAAAGUCACCUCAUUUAAUUAUAAUAUUUUAGAAUACAUUGCGCUUAUAAUAUUUAUUGUAGUGUUAAGAAUAUGCAAAGUCAUCUCAAAAGUUUAAAAUCUUGUAGUUUCUUUAAUAUUUUUCUCUCAAUAUAAAUUUUAUAAAUACAUUGUUUAACACAACUCAUGUAAUCCUCAACCAAUUCAAGUGAUACCUUCUCUUCUUCCUCUAGCAAAUAUUUUAGAUAGAUAUUUUAGUUCAUCUUAAACCUUUAAUGAAACAUAGUAUAUAUUUUUUGCAAUAUGUAGAUAAUUAUUACUAUAUGGAGGCAAGUUUCUUAAGAAGGGACCUAAAAAAUUUACAACUUAUUACAAUUUGGAGUUUAUUCCUAUUUAUAACUGACUCAAGUUGGGACCAAUUUUUUUUAUUACUAUAUGGAGGCUAUUCCUAUAUAGAGUAUUACUAAAUAGAGGUUUUACUGUAUGGAAUUGAUAUUUCCACAUCACUAAUUGAUAUUUCCGUAAGUAGACCCUACUCCAUAACAAAACUCAUCGGUUUGUACCCAUUUUACCCUCAUUUGACAAAAUACCCAAAUGCGCUGCCUUCCUUUAUUUUGAUGGUUGAUUUGGGAGAAUGAAUUUAAACUCGUGAAUGAAUUGGGAGCUAUGUAUCGAAACAGUAGCUUUGAAUGGUGCAGAGUAGAGAGAGAAAGUAAGCUGCGGAAGAGGAGGGGGUGAAAUUAUAUCAACGGAAGUAAAUUUGGCAUAAAUAACUGUAAAUAGGGACCACUUGCGGAAAUAUCACUUCCCUUUACUGUAUAUGACAAUUAUUUCUCUUUACUUUGAAAGUAUAUAUUUUCGUUAUUAGGAAAAAGUCGAUCAACCAUUUUGUCCAUAUAUCCAGAUGAAUUUUAGGGGGUUUUUGAUAAAAACUGAAUGAAUCUGAAUAUCUGAAUCUGAAUGAGCUGAAUCUGAAUGAAUAAAAUUGUUUGAUAAUUGACACGUAUUUUUAUUAUUUUACCCAUUUAAAAAAAUUCAAAAUUGUUGUAAAUUUAUUUAAUAUAAUAGUUAAUAUUGUAAAAAAAAAAACUUCAUUAAGCCUUCGUUCAGCUCAUUCAGCCAAAAAAAUGACACUAAAUCAUUUAGCUCAAAUCGUCUGAAUGGCUGGCCGAUUCAGCCAUUUAAAUGAUUUUUUUUUUAAAACAAACGUAUUGAAUGGCUGACCGUGACUGAUUCUGUCAUUCAGUCAUAAACAAACAGACCCUUAAACUUAUUUCGGCCUUAUCCCGUUUAGCUUAGUUCGUAUGUGUGAACAAGUAUGUCUCGGAUUAUAUCAUGGGGUGAAACAGGUAAGAAGUUUGUGAUAGAUGUAGAUGCCUGGAUGGAUCUUCGAGCAGCUGGUAAAUAUGACUGCUUGUAAUCAUACUACAUGAUUUUUUAAUCCUGCAUUUGUUUUAGGAAGUAAUUUGAUAUGUUUCAUAGCUCUCUCAUAUAAUUUCCAUACUACUUGCAUAGUUGUGUAGCUAAGUUCAAACAACCUCUUAUGAAAAUGAAUCCUUAUGAUAUUUCAUUGUCGGCCUGGGGGUGUAGUAAGCUUCUAUACUUUUGUAUGGGAUUCAUUUCGGCUAAAAAUUAUAGAGUUGUUUAAGUCUCAGUUUCUUCACCUCUAUCUUUCUCUUUCGACUAUCCCCUUUUGCUCUUCCAUAAAUUAAGAGCUAAUGCCAAAGUUUCUGAAAACCAAUAACAUCCGUAAUGCCCCUUACUGGUUUGGCUGAUAAUUGAAUAAGAGCCUUGAAUGAAAAUGUUUCUACCUCAUGAACUUAUCUAUUGGUUUUUAUGAGUAGCGAUAGACAUACAUUCCCUACGUCUGCAGAUAAAGGUGUAAAUGAACCGAACCGAGUCGAGCCGAGCCGAGCAAUGAGUUGCUCGGAUUUGGUUCACAAAAUUUAUGGAGUAUUUUAGUAUAAAAUAAGGUUUGAUUGAGGCUCGUUUUGCUACUGAGUUGAACACGAUCUCGAAUCGAGCCCGAACAGUUUGAAUUUUUCGAACGUUGAUCCGGAUAUCAAAAGAAAUUACAAUUUGAAGAGGUUCGAGUAAUUUUUCGAACUUUAAAUUUUGCUCGUAUUUGAAUCAUUUAUAUCUCGAAUACGAAUCGAGCCGAACUGUUUGCUCAUUUUACAGCCUUAUUCCGGAAAAUCUUAAUGUUAACGAAUCUUAUAUUAUACCUGAUUCAUUGUUGUUGAAGUUGCAAGGAUUAUCAGAUAUUAAACCUACAUCUCUUAAAAUAUUGUUGCUUGUACAAUCAACUUUGUUUUAUGCUACAACCUUAUUUUUCUUGGUUUAUGAAAAAUCAGAAUAUUUUACUCUUACCCUGAAAUCAUUGGUUGAUGAAUUUCCUAAUUGAAAAAAUUAACUUAGCUUUGCUUGCAUAUAGUAUGUCUACUUUUAGAUAUGUUGUAACUGAAGUUUUUCUUUUCCUCAUAAAUCAUAUCAUGAGCGAUCAAUGUGAAAUUGUAGUUCAAACAUCGUCAUAUUCUUAUUCUAAUUGUUGAAACUGUGACUCUCAGCAUUGUUAGAGAAGUAGUGGAGGGAACACCCCCAGAAUCUUUUAGAAACCGUAGCUCAGCUCAUAGCGUCCGCAACUCUGACCAAGCACCCGUGGAUAUCUUUUGUCCGUGUGCAGGUUCAGAAGCCUCGUGUUAAUUUUUGUUCCCGGUCCUGUUGACUUUUUGGGAGUUGAGAUUACCAGAUAUAGAAGCAUUGAUGGCCCAAAUUAAAAGUUUUUUAGCAAGUUAUAUACCUGCUGCCGCUGCCCCUUUUGGUAAAUACAAGUUAUGUAAAUUUGUUACCUUGGAUAUGUUCCAAUUAAUGGUUCUAAAUUAUGGUUUAUGGUCGUAAUGGAUCUGCAUCGACUUUCUGGUUACUGUCAUGAUCAUGUCCCGACCUCCUAGAUUAAAGACAUCAAUAAAUCUCGACUUUGUGCUUACUUUCUUGAUCUUGUCAUGACCUCUUAGAUUAUAUAUAGACAUCAAUAAAUCUCAAUAUUUUGAGUAGCGAACAUAGAGACCCUGCCACCCUGGACAUCUGUAAUUCUAUGAGUGGCUUUUGUGCUUCUGCAUGGUAAUUGCUAAAGACUAGUAACAUUGAGCAGUUAAUGGAAGCUUCCUUGGGCAGGCGACAAAUUCCUAGAAACCGAACCGGCUAGCAUAAAGCAAAUAAUUGCGGUAAUGGUUGCUUCUUGCAAAUAUACUACUGCUAGCCCUAGCCACGAUACAUGGUCAAGGAUAGAACAAAUUGCUAUAGAGGAUUCAGCUUUAUGUUGAUUCUGCAGAAAAAUAUGCAGCACCUAUUUUAGACAAAUCCAUUUGACCAACAUUGUACAGCCUGCUUGGGAAAUAGCCAAACCAAAGAGAAACUUGAGUAAAUGAUGUAUUAUUAUUCUCUGAAAACUCAUUUGGGUGCCUCGGAGUGGAGCAAGCAAGCAUUUUAAAACAUAUCAAGCCGAGUAAACAAAGAUGCUCUACACUAAAGUCUCAUGCAGCUACAAGGUUAAGCUAUCUAGAUACUGGAUUAAAAUCUACUCAUGCUGCCAUAGCACCCUCUGCAUGACUUCUGGCUUUCCUUCUUGGUGAGCUUGAGGAAAUAGCUGACCCUUGGCCUUGCAAUCUCGGCCUCCUUAUUUCUCGGACUACCACAGUCAGUCUACACUCUGGUCUCACUUUUAACCCACAUUUCCCUUUAUCAUGGUAAUUUAUCCUCUUUUUGAAGAGUCCCUUUCCGACAAAUGCCUAG
This 5968-nucleotide long non-coding RNA is filed under the name Panax ginseng (ginseng). RNAcentral's name for it is "long non-coding RNA (PGIN_LNC005631)". The record is from RNAcentral. Lineage: Eukaryota; Viridiplantae; Streptophyta; Magnoliopsida; Apiales; Araliaceae.